UGUAUCGGUAGGCUCAUAAUCAUUUUAAAGUGUGCAGGGUGAUAUAAAUCUUAAUCGACUGAAGACCAGGUGGGAACCAUUCAUUGGCAUAUGGUCUUAGUACCGAAAUUUCGUUUGAUAGAUUGCCGAGAUAUUCGGUCUUUAUGCUGCUUAUCAUCUGGGUAUCAUGGUUGUAUCUUUUACCAGAAAAUAACGGGGACACAAGUCUAGAUCUUCCAUGAUACUAUACAUACGUGUACAUAUUACAUACUGCAUACUGCAUUCGACCUCAAUAAGUGAUAAACAAUCACAUGUCCAUAUCAAAUAAGUGAUAAAAUAUCACAUUUAUCCGGGUGUCAAGUUCGUCUCUCUGCUGUACGGAAGUACUGACCUGUUCACGGACUUGCACCUGUGCCCUCAUGCAUACGAAAAUCAAGUUCCUCAUCAAUAAGUGAUUAUAUCACAAAGGGCUUGUUUUCGAAUCAAAAUAAGUGAGUAUCUCACAAUUUAUACGGUCAAACAGAUGAUAAUCGGUAUACUCACCGGUAAGAUGAACUCUCGUGCAUACCUUGAUACGGGAAUGUGUCGUGAUGUGGAUGAACACCGGUCGGUAAGUAUAAAUCAUACAUUAACGUAUCCUCUAAACAUGAUUACAUCUGAUAAGUUGA
Molecule: long non-coding RNA, 647 nt
Filed under: Helianthus annuus (common sunflower)
Lineage: Eukaryota; Viridiplantae; Streptophyta; Magnoliopsida; Asterales; Asteraceae
Source: RNAcentral